CGCUAUGGCGGCUGUGCGUGGGGCACCUUCGGGUGCGCCGGGUUCGUAUGUGACCGGUCCGUCAACCCAUGCACAGCUGCCACCCAC
Pseudomonas rhizosphaerae is the source of this 87-nucleotide non-coding RNA. NCBI's taxonomy places the organism in Bacteria, Pseudomonadati, Pseudomonadota, Gammaproteobacteria, Pseudomonadales, Pseudomonadaceae. The record is from Rfam.